This is a long non-coding RNA of Catharus ustulatus (Swainson's thrush), 2195 nucleotides long. RefSeq lists it as uncharacterized. NCBI's taxonomy places the organism in Eukaryota, Metazoa, Chordata, Aves, Passeriformes, Turdidae. The transcript has 6 exons. The record is from RefSeq and is a predicted model, not a curated record.
UACUCAACUGAUACCCUUGCUUUCAGGUUAUACUUGUUGAGAAAGUCACUGUUGGUAUUUAAGUUAACACAUAAAAACAAAAGCUUUCAAACAAGACUGCAGCUAUUUAAAGAUCGUGAACUACCAUUACUGAAACCAUAGAAAAAAGCAACCUGCCAAAACAUCGGUGCUCUACACAACCGCGCAAAUAAAGUUACGCUCUUAAACAUCCUUAUUUAAUGCACUGCGUUUAACAGAUGGGUUUCAGUGCCUCUGCCUAGGGCUGGGAGAGAAAGUACCCUGCGGUACGAAGCCACUGGAAUGAAGGACAGCAAGUCCCGGGAACGCCGGAGGCCGGCUGCUGGAAGGAAACAGGGGUUUUCUUCUAAGAGCUUGAACUUCAGUGUGAAAGCUUGGCUUUACUUUGGUCACUGAAAAUCAAUCCAGUUGAUGUUAGAGAGGCUAUGACCCAGGAGAGAAAAGGAUGGAGUUCUUUUGCUGGCCUAAACCAGGCUGUCAGGACACAGAGCAAAAAUGUGAAAAGUAAAGACAGAAAGGAGGUGAUCCCCUGUAUCAUACCAAGUAACUCCAUGACAUUUUAGUGUACUUCAGUAACUCCAGGCUGCAGGACCUUUGGAUAUUACCAGACUUUCAGACUGACCUUGCUGUGGAUGCCUGAACCCAGCAGCAGUGCUGCUGUUCCAAGCAAGAUGCAAAACCAAACCCGUGUUGUGCUAGAGAUGACAUAUCCACCUCUGCUGCCACCACUGCCAACCUUCUCAGCUGCACUGGUACUCAGACCUCAGCCUGGCUGUUGGAGACCACUCUAGCAAGGUCUUUUCAAAAUUUUUUCAUAGACACAAAAAAGUUAAAAUAAAAUGAACUGAAACAGUGCUGUUCUCUGCAAUAUCUACACUGAAUAGAAGUGCACUCAGAAGAUUGCAAGUACUAAGAUUUCAUUUUCUGCAGGAAACAAAUGUCAUAAUACAAAGUGGAUGAAAUUCUCCAUUCUUUGAGAGAAAGAGUGUGAAUAUCCUCAUGCUGGAGAGAAGGUGUAAGGCUGUUUAUCAUGCAGCUGCAGCAAUAGCCAUAUUUGUGAGGAAUACAGAAGUGAUGCAAACCAGGGAAUGAGAAGCACUGUUGCUAAAAGACAAACAUCCUUCAGGAACAGAAAAGGGAUAUUUCUUUCAGUAUGGCUGAAUCAGGCCAAAAGUCCAUUUGCCUCAGCAUCCUGUCUCUGACAAUGAUGUUUAAGAAAAGAAACAAGGCAUGGAGUAAAUCCUGUGUGGUACUUUCCAUGGCUGCCAGCAUCAGCUUCCUAUUUUAGAGACUGUAUCAGCAUCUUUGGUUUUGAAAAGCCUGGUGGACUUCUAUUCCAUGAGUUUUCACUACAGAUUCAACUUUUCUCCAUAAAAUGUAUUUUUUUUUCUUUUUAAAUGUAAUGAGAAAGAAAAUCACACAGUAAACUUUGCUUUUAUGCAGCAGUAGUUAGGAAUGUUAAUAGCACGAUGGGAAACCUGAUGUGGGUCACCUGGUCAUAUUCCUAUUGGUGGAACAGUGCCAUCCACUGCAAAACAUCCCCCUGUAUGUCACCACAGGACAGCUCUGUGCACAUCUGAGCACCCCUUACUUUCCACUCAUCUCUGCCCACAGCACUCAGGUGUGCUUUUGCUCAAGCCUAGACUUUCAGGGGAUGAUGGAAUUUACAGUAAUUUGACUUUCUCUUGCGGCAAAGGAUAAAGGUCAAGUCCAAAUAGUCCAUUAAGCAUCUCAAGUGUUAUUGUUAUUAUAUGGUACAGACACAUAAUCUCCUGCCCUUUUAAACAUUUGGCAAUCUAUAAUCUGUGACUGAGAAUGCCAGUGGAGUCCAGAAUCUGAGAAAUGUACUUGGUUUCUAUUGUAAGGAAAUAUGCAAUUAUACGUAGUAUGGAAGCAUCUUAUGGAUAAUGCAAUCAAAGGCACUGAGAAGAUUAAAUGACUGAAUGGCAUUGGAAAAAAUGUGUAUACUAGUUAAGCAACAAAACUGUCCAAGUGCCUAACAGAUGAAGUUAGAGUUAUGGCUCAUGAAAUUGUGACUAUUUAUCUUCCACAGAAUUCUGUUUAAAAAAACCCUUGUUAUUCAUGAAAGUUGAAAAUUUAAAAUCAUUUUAAUGCAAGUUAUUGUCAUCUCAAUAAAACUUCAAGUGAAUCUCAUUCAGAACAAAACAUUUUGCAGU